This is a long non-coding RNA of Lates calcarifer (barramundi perch), 1365 nucleotides long. RefSeq lists it as uncharacterized. The transcript is spliced from 3 exons. NCBI's taxonomy places the organism in Eukaryota, Metazoa, Chordata, Actinopteri, Centropomidae. The record is from RefSeq and is a predicted model, not a curated record.
UGCGCAACCAAAUCAAAGAGAGGACAGCAGCUUCUAUUUUCUAGUAGCUACAGGUAUCUUACCGCAGGUAGUGUAAAUGGUGCGGAACAACCCGUGUAACUGUGGAAGUUGUAUCGGGCCAAAGAAAGAAAAAAAGCCCUGUUGUUGGAGGCGAAGAAGACAAACAAUAAGUGAUACAAACCGCAGUGGAAACACGGGUGAACCUGGACGGGCACUCAGUGGGUGGAGAGAGAAAUUCAGGCCUGGAUUUAUCCUCUCGAGCCGACUUUAUGGAUUUUUAACGCUCCACUGGCACGUCGGGAUUUGUCCGGGUUGUCAAAUGGAAAGAGCUUCGGGACUUCAGAAGGUUCAGAACGACAGACAGCUGGCAUUAUUUCUACUAGAUCAGUUUUGUGGAUCUGCACACAACUACUCCAACCUAAUCUUAAUUGACAACAGACAUGAGUAUCAUCACGUUCAAGCCCAGGCUGUGGCAAAGUCUACAGGAUCUGAAUGCUUCCUCCACUGCUGGUCACUGUUGACUUCACAUAAAGACAGAUACUGCCAUCUUGUGGAUAACUUUAUAAAGAAACCAUGCAUAUUCAUCGGUGUAGACAUUUCUGUCUUCUUUCCACUGAAUAAAUUGAAUCAGUGAUACCCACCCCCUGAACAAAUGUCUGAGCAACUGUUACAGCCUUUCAUCGUUUUUCAGCCCUGAGCGAAAAGGUUAGGAGGCUGCUAUACGCUGAUGCUUAGCAGAACAUAAUGAAUCCUGAACGAUGCUUUGCCCUUUGAUCACAUCGCACCACUCAAUGAUGCAAUUAAGCCGGUAAUUAAUAAUAGAUUAAGCAUCUGCACUGAGUGGCAGGCAGUAUGAGACACAUGCCUCAAAUCGAUUUAGCAAAAUGGAAAAAGGAAAAAAAAAAGUGGGGGGGGAUAAAACUGUAAUUACUCACAUCAGUCAGAAACUAUGAUUGAACAAAGCCUCUGGGGCAUAAAACCACACACACACAUAAACACACACUAUUUUACAGCCAUUGGCCUGUCAAUGCCCUCGCCUGCCAGUUCCAGACAGGCAAUGCGUUCCAGAUUAGAUCAAACUCCAGGUUGCCCAUUUCGAUUCUAAAAGCAGCUGUACGGCACUUUGUUACCAUGACGACACUCACCGUCUGGUCUGCUGUCUGCAGGCAUAAAAAUAGACAGAGGUGGUGGUUCAGUUCAGGACUCACUGAGAUGAUAGUGGGCAGGAGGCAAUCAAAAAAAAGGAGGGCAUGAUUAGACGAUCGUCAUUAUUUGGCUCCAACCCCCUAAUCAAACCAUGAUGGCACAGCAACAAGUCUUGAACUUUUCUGACUUCAUCGUUUGUUUCCUGACGUGUGGCCACAA